RNAcentral lists this ribosomal RNA (231 nucleotides) under uncultured bacterium. RNAcentral's name for it is "partial 16S ribosomal RNA". It matches the Rfam family "Bacterial small subunit ribosomal RNA", at positions 15 to 229 of the family's 1533-position model. The record is from RNAcentral.
GAUCAUGGCUCAGGAUGAACGCUGGCGGCGUGCCUAACACAUGCAAGUCGAGCGAGAAACUUUUAAAUGAAACUUCGGUAGAUUUUAAAAGCGGAAAGCGGCGGACGGGUGAGUAACGCGUAGGCAACCUGCCCUUUGCAGAGGGAUAGCAUCUGGAAACGGAUAUUAAUACCUCAUAAUACUAAACUAUCACAUGAUAGAGUAGUCAAAGAUUUAUCGGCAAAGGAUGGG